UGAAUAGUUUUAUUCAAAACUACCAAUUGUUUCUUACAAGGGCUAG
This is a non-coding RNA of Culex pipiens (northern house mosquito), 46 nucleotides long. The record is from Rfam. NCBI's taxonomy places the organism in Eukaryota, Metazoa, Arthropoda, Insecta, Diptera, Culicidae.